UUCCGGUUGAUCCCGCCGGAGGCCAUUGCUAUCGGAGUCCGAUUUAGCCAUGCUAGUCGAGCGAGGUUAGCCCUCGCGGCGAACAGCUCAGUAACACGUGGCCAAGCUACCCUGCAGAGGGGGACAGCGUCGGGAAACUGACGGGAAUCCCCCAUACCGGUCUCACGCUGGAAUGCCGAGACCGACAAACGCUCCGGCGCUGCAGGAUGCGGCUGCGGCCGAUUAGGUAGUCGGUGGGGUAACGGCCCACCGAGCCGAUAAUUGGUACGGGGUGUGAGAGCACGAGCCCGGAGACGGAAUCUGAGACAAGAUUCCGGGCCCUACGGGGCGCAGCAGGCGCGAAACCUUUACACUGCACGAACGUGCGAUAAGGGGACUCCGAGUGCGAGGGCAUACAGUCCUCGCUAUUGUGUACCGUAGGGUGGUACACGACCAAGAGCUGGGCAAGACCGGUGCCAGCCGCCGCGGUAAUACCGGCAGCUCGAGUGAUGGCCGAUUUUAUUGGGCCUAAAGCGUCCGUAGCUGGCCCUGCAAGUCCGUCGGGAAAUCCACUCGCCUAACGAGUGGGCGUCCGGCGGAAACUCCAGGGCUUGGGACCGGAAGACUUGAGGGGUACGUCUGGGGUAGGAGUGAAAUCCUGUAAUCCUGGACGGACCGCCGAUAGCGAAAGCACCUCAAGACGACGGAUCCGACAGUGAGGGACGAAAGCUAGGGUCUCGAACCGGAUUAGAUACCCGGGUAGUCCUAGCUGUAAACGAUGUUCGCUAGAUGUGGCACAGGCUACGUGCCUGUGCUGUGUCGUAGGGAAGCCGAGAAGCGAACCGCCUGGGAAGUACGUCCGCAAGGAUGAAACUUUAAGGAAUUG
Molecule: ribosomal RNA, 865 nt
Filed under: uncultured archaeon
Lineage: Archaea
Description: bacterial SSU rRNA
Rfam family: Archaeal small subunit ribosomal RNA
Source: RNAcentral